AUGCAUGACAGGGAACGGAAGGAGAGAUUUCACUGCAGUAGCUAUACAACAAUCUUAAAUCUCUAAGUGAUGUAGAGUUUCUACUUCCUUACCAUCUUAAAAUCUUCGAGGAGGCCGAGUGCGUGCGUGGCCAAGUGCGUGUGAGAGGAUGUUUGGGGGCAGCGGCUGGUGGGUUAGGGUUAGGACUUCUUUGUUUUUUGAUUUAUUUUUUAAUUAAAGUGUACGUUUUAUGAGAUGGAAAGCGCGAAUACCAAAAUAAAAAGUGUGAACGCCAAAAUAAAGAGCGCGACC
Molecule: long non-coding RNA, 291 nt
Filed under: Sorghum bicolor (sorghum)
Lineage: Eukaryota; Viridiplantae; Streptophyta; Magnoliopsida; Poales; Poaceae
Description: long non-coding RNA (SBIC_LNC015445)
Source: RNAcentral